RNAcentral lists this long non-coding RNA (2910 nucleotides) under Sus scrofa (pig). RNAcentral describes it as "lncRNA (ENSSSCG00025073687.1, ENSSSCG00110037255.1)". The record is from RNAcentral. Lineage: Eukaryota; Metazoa; Chordata; Mammalia; Artiodactyla; Suidae.
AUCUCUGUAGCCCCAGUGCCUCAUAUAGGACUGGCACGUUUGGGAGGCACAGAUUGAGUGGUACAAGGGACAGAAAGAGAGAUUAGGACAGCAUAUUUUAAAACCAGGAUCUUCAAGCUCUCCGGAAUACUGAAGAUGUAGAAGAAAGUCAUGUGACUAAGCAAUUGUGGGAAUUGAGAGAACUCAGUUCAAACACUGUCUCUUUCCUGCUAUACUUUAGCUGUGUGGCCUGGCUAAAUCACUCAUCUCUAUGCCUCAGUUUCCUCUUCUUUAUGACCCCCUCACAGGAUUGGCUGCCAUCAUCUAGCAAGUGAGCCAUCAGAGGAAGCAUUCCAGAAGUGAAAAGCAUUGUUGUUAAUAUUAUUAUUACUUUUGUGCCUAGAGAGCAUCAGCAUCACUUGGAGGGCUUGUUAAACACAGAUAUCACUGGGCCCCAGCCCAGAAUUUCUGACUCAGUAGGUUUGGGUUACUAGGGUCCAAGAAUUUGCAUCUCGAACAAGAUCCAACAGAAGGCAGUGAAGAGGAGCAAUGAAGUAAAGGAAGAAAGACAACAAAAGCUUGAAAAUUCUAGCUCAGAGCUUCCUCGCCUGUAUGUCAUGGCUGGAGAUGUGGGUGCCCAGAAAUUGAUCCCUCAUGCCUUAGCAGGAUCCUGAAGACAGCUGCCCAGGUUGUGCACACAGAAUAAGGGCAUCAUUCUGCUUCAAGGGAAAAAUGGGGCUGAAAUCCCCAGACGAGAUGCCUUUUCCUAAUAUACCUAUGGUCUAGUUCUUAAGGGGGUUUGGCCCGGUGGGGAAAACUGGGAUAUCUGAUCUAUCGCCGCUGGCCUUGAUCGAACUGUUUACCCCAGGCUACCACACCGGCAUGUUCAUUCUCUACAUAUGCUACGGCUUGAAAACAUUUGGGAAGCUUUACUCUAAAGUUUCACUGUCCACGUGAAAGACAAACAUGUUAUCAUAUCCCCUAUAUGUGGCAUCUUUAAAAAAAAAAAAAAAGGAUACAAAUGAACUUAUUUGCAGAACAGAAACAGACUCACAGACUUUGAAAAACUUAUGAUUACCCAAGGGGUCAGGUAGGGGGCCUGGGAAGGAUGGACUGGGGCUUUGGGAUUGGCAUAUGCACACUGAGGUAUGUGGAAAAAUUGGCCAACGAGGACCUGCCGUAUAGCGCAGUAAACUCUACCCAGUAUUCUGUGGCAAUCCAUGGGGGAAAAGAAUCUGAGAGAGAAUGGAUGUGUGUAUACGUGGGACAGGGUCCCUUUUUUGUACAGCAAAAAUCCUCACAGCCUUGCAACGUAACUGUACUUCAAUAAAACUUAAAAAAUAAAAAGGAAAGCUGCACUGUCCAAUUAGUUUGCCACUAGAAACAUGUGUCUAGUACAAAAUGAGAUGUGCCAUAAAUAUAAAAUGUGUACCAGAUUGCAAAAAUUUAGAACAAAAAUAAGAAACUCAUUAAUAAUUUGUUUUAUAUUGACUACAUGCUGAAAUGUUAAUAUUUUGAAUAUAUUACAUAUGCUACCAAAAUUAUUUGCAUUUCUUUCUUUUUGCUGUUUAAAAAAAUAAUUAUAGCUCUCUUUUAUGUUUUGUUUUAUUUUAUUUUAUUUUAUUUUAUUUUCACCAGAGCAUGUAGCAGCUUUGACAUGGUUUCUCAGUUCCCAGACCAGAGAUUGAACCUAGGCUAUAGCAACAACAGCACUAAAUCCUGACCACUAGACCACCAGGGAACGCCCUCUUUUUACUUUUUAAUGUGACUAUUAGAAAAUUUAAAAUUGCACAUGAGGCUCCCAUUAUAUGUGUGGACAGUGCUGUCCUAGAAAGAAAGUUAACAUUUUGCAGAAAUUGUAGGUGGUUUCAUCUGUCUGCAAGAGUGGAGUGUGUGUGUGUGUGUGUGUGUGUGUGUGUGUGUGUAGUCAGGCCACUGAAGGGAGGCUGAGCAGUCCCAGCGGUAGGCUAAGUACUUCAACUUGACCCUGUAGGAGACAGCAAUUCAGAAGCUGUGAGAGGCAGAAUGACCUGAUUAGACUGUUUAGAAUGACACCUGGAAGCAGAGUAGAGGAGGGACUGACCGAGAGGUCUCACAAAAAACAAAAGCUCUGAGAAGCAGUGCAGUGGAACUGAAAGAGGAGCCAGCCAGAGGUCAGUCACAUGGCCCAAGUUCACACAGCUCAAGUUCACAUCAGAUAUGUUCAGGCUCAGGCCAUCCUAGUGAUUAAGAGAAUGGGCUUGGGAGUUCCUGCUGUGGCUCAGCCAUUACAAACCCAACUAGUAUCCAUGAGGAUGCGGGUUCGAUCCCUAACCUCACUCAGUGGGUUAAGGAUCCAGCGUUGCCAUGAGCUGUGGUGUAGGUCACAGAUGCAGCUGGGAUCCAGCAUUGCUGUGGCUGUGGCUGUUGCAGCUCCAAUUCGACCCCUAGCCUGGGAACCUCCAUAUGCCGCGGGUGUGACCCUGAAAAGCAAAAAAGGGAGAGAGAGGAAAUGGGCUUUGGCACCAGACUGCUCCAUUUGAAUCCUAGCCCUUCCAUUUAAGGUCACCUGUUUUCAUUAACUUUGCCGCAUCUCAGUUUAUUCAUCUGGGGAUGAAUGGGGAUCUGUUAUCAUCACGUUGUUAUGAGCCAUAAAUGUGUUCAGAGAAAGGAAGCGCUUAAAACAUGUCUAUUUGGCCUUGCUUGGUCACAUGCUCCUUUCUUAUUUUGCCAGGGGGAUGUGAUUUUGUGAUUGGACGAGGCUGGGUCUCGUGCCCAGCCCAGGUGGACAGACAGCUGGGUCUGUUACCCCAGGAAGGGGGCGAGGCGGGGGAAUGUGCCAGCACAUACAAACAGCAGCUGCCCUGUCUUCUCCACCCUCCUGGCUCCAUGACCUUGGACAAGUGACUCAAUGGAUAAGGAGCCCAACUUCCACUUCAGUAACACCUUCCU